RNAcentral lists this long non-coding RNA (2049 nucleotides) under Theobroma cacao (cacao). Its description in RNAcentral is "long non-coding RNA (TCAC_LNC003793)". The record is from RNAcentral. Lineage: Eukaryota; Viridiplantae; Streptophyta; Magnoliopsida; Malvales; Malvaceae.
AAGAACAAAGGAAGAAAAGAAGAACAAAAAUCCUAGAGUGAAAAUUCAAGAGAAAAUUGGUGGAUUUCAAUUAAUCAAGCAAUCAAAGGUAAAAUUUCUUGAUUUUUACUUGUGAUCAAUCUUUCCCACGCAUUCUUUUGCAUUUUCCAUGGUUGAAUCACAUGAUUUCAUGAUGGGUCUCUUGCUGGCCGAACACUUAGAGAGAGAUUUUAAUGGUUGUUUUGAUUAGAUUUUAAGAUAUUCUAGUGUUUUUAGUUGAUUAGUGAUGUGUAGCAUGAAAAUCAAGCAAGAAAAAUUCAUGUUCUUCCAUAACCCUCAUUGGCCGAAUUCUCCAUGUGGAAUAUUGAUGAUGACUUUGAUUUUUUUUUUUCAAGUGAAUUGGUUAGGAAAUGAUGAAUUAUGGUGAGAAAAUCAAGUAGGAAAAACCAUAGUGUUGAUGCACCCACCAUGGCCGAACUUCUCAAGAGAAAAUGUGAAAAUGAUUUUGCUAAAUUUUUUGCUAUUUGACUUGUGUUUGAUGGUUUGGUGAAUUGGAAGAAAAAUGGAGUAAUUGGAGACUGUUUUCUAUGUUAUAAAUCAUGGUUUGAAUUGAAUGGCUUAUGAUAAUGUGGGCAUGAGUGGCUGGACUAGUAAUUGUGCUAAACAUAUAUGAACUAUUGUUUGCCUUGAUAGGCUGGAUAAUGAUAAAAUUGCCAUGUCAUGCUGUUGAAUUUUAUUGAAUUGGUGGGUUAUAGAUUGGUCACCGCAGUGGCGGGUUCUGUGGACCAACCUAUUAGAGAGGCACGAAAUCUUGUUAUAUUCUAACCUCGAUUGGAGAGGUGCGUAAGGUAACUCCCGAGGUAAAACUUUAGAGUUCACUUCAUGUUAAACCACCACGUGAGGGUGAACUCAGCCAAUGCUACGGAACGGCUAUGUUUUCAAAAUAAAAACAUGAUUUAUGCGUACAUAACUUUUUAACAACCUUGGUAGACUUGGUUGGGAUAGCCCUCGGCCAAGGUAUCCCUUACAACUGAGUAUGAGAAUAAUUUUGGCACAAGCCAAGUUUUAAGAAAUUCAUAAGCCAUGUUGAUUACUCGAUUUAAAUGAAUUGAUUUUAAUUUGUUGAAAUGAGUUGAAAAGUGAUGAAUUACAGUAUGAUGAUUUAUUUCAUUUGUCUCCAUUUAGUCGACUUUAGAUAUUUUGGAUGAUGUUUGUUUACUCACUGAGAUUAUAUAAUCUCAGCACCCUUCUUUCUACCACUUUCAGGCUCAGAAUAGUCGGUAGAUAGCUCAUUUCAUUAAAAGCUACCGUUGGAUUUGCAUCCUGCAAACUGCAGGUUCAUAGCCUUUAUUACUUUUGGUUAUUCGAGGGCCCACUUGUUAUUGUGAAUUAAAUCUUAUACUUUGGUUAUUUGUAUUACAGUAUGUAUGAAUUUAUUUAGCUUUUUAUGCUACAAAAAUUAUUUACCGAUAACUCUAUAAAUAUUGUUUUAUAAGAAAAUAGAAUAUUUUAUUGAAUAUUUUUAUUAUAUUCAAAAAGGUAUAGUUUCACUUUAAAUGAAUGUUUUAGACAUCUAAACUUAUUUUUUAUUAUGAAAUAUGUGUUAUCCACUCGCAUACUACAUUUUUAGUUGGUUUCGAGAUUUUGAGGAAAAAUGACCAAAAUGUCCCUAUGAGAAAAAAUUUAUUUUUCUAUUGUUUUGAUUUGGAAAUAGUUUAUAAUCUCUCAAAACAUGAUACUUAACAACUGUUGCUCACAGGGGAGGUGCGAAAAUUGAUAUUAAAGCCUUGCAAGGUUCCGGUUGGCAUUUCAGGCAAUGAAUGUCCAUUGGGAUGUCGCGACGGUUGUCACGAGCUCGAAGGGAGUACCGGGUUGUGACAACUUUUCUAGUUGAUGGAUGGCAUUCGCUUCAUGUUUCCCAAUGCAAACAUUGAAUUAUGAUUGCUUUUAACCAAAAUUGAAAAUGAUUUUUAUUUAAAAUCGUUUAUAAGAUUAUAAAACCAUUUAUAGCAAUUAACAAGACUUUCGAUGGCAUGCAUGACUAUAAAUGGAGUUUUCUUAUCGAUUGAU